UUUUAUGGAGAGUUUGAUCCUGGCUCAGGAUGAACGCUGGCGGCGUGCCUAAUACAUGCAAGUCGAGCGAACGGACGAGAAGCUUGCUUCUCUGAUGUUAGCGGCGGACGGGUGAGUAACACGUGGAUAACCUACCUAUAAGACUGGGAUAACUUCGGGAAACCGUAGCUAAUACCGGAUAAUAUUUUGAACCGCAUGGGUCAAAAGUGAAAGACGGUCUUG
Molecule: ribosomal RNA, 222 nt
Filed under: Staphylococcus aureus
Lineage: Bacteria; Bacillati; Bacillota; Bacilli; Caryophanales; Staphylococcaceae
Description: partial 16S ribosomal RNA
Rfam family: Bacterial small subunit ribosomal RNA
Source: RNAcentral